GAUGAAGAACGCAGCGAAAUGCGAUAAGUAAUGUGAAUUGCAGAAUUCAGUGAAUCAUCGAAUCUUUGAACGCACAUUGCGCCCGCUAGUAUUCUGGCGGGCAUGCCUGUCCGCGCGUCAUUUCAACCCUCAAGCCCCCGGGCUUGGUGUUGGGGAUCGGCGAGCCUCCGCGCCCGCCGUCCCCUAAAUCUAGUGGCGGUCUCGCUGUAGCUUCCUCUGCGUAGUAGCACACCUCGCACUGGGAAACAGCGCGGCCACGCCGUUAAACCCCCAACUUCUGAACGUUUGACCUCGGAUCAGGUAGGAAUACCCGCUGAACUUAAGCAUAUCAAUAAGCGGAGGA
Molecule: unclassified non-coding RNA, 343 nt
Filed under: soil metagenome
Description: partial contains 5.8S ribosomal RNA, internal transcribed spacer 2, and large subunit ribosomal RNA
Rfam family: 5.8S ribosomal RNA (bases 1-120)
Source: RNAcentral